This 433-nucleotide ribosomal RNA is filed under the name uncultured bacterium. RNAcentral describes it as "partial 16S ribosomal RNA". It matches the Rfam family "Bacterial small subunit ribosomal RNA", at positions 29 to 507 of the family's 1533-position model. The record is from RNAcentral.
AACGAACGCUGGCGGCAUGCCUAACACAUGCAAGUCGAACGAUACCUUCGGGUCUAUUGGCUCAUGGGUUCGUAACGCGACGGAACCGUCCCGUGUGGUCAGCAUAACUUCCCGCAAGGGGUGCUAAUACCGGAUAAUGGCUUCUGCCCAAUGAUUUAUCGCCUUUGGAGUGGCCCACGUUGAAUUAGCUAUUUGGUAGGGUAAAAGUCUACCAAGGCUAUACUCCAUAGCUGGUCUGAGAGGAUGAUCAGUCACACUGGGACUGAGACACGGCCCAGACUCCUGCGGGAGGCAGCAGUGGGGAAUAAUGGACAAUGGGCGAAAGACUGAUCCAGCAAUGCCGUGUGGCUGAUGAAGGCCUUAGGGUUGUAAAGCUCUGUUAACAGGGAUCAUAAUGACAGUACCGGAAGAAUAAGCUCCGGCUAACUCCGUG